UACGUAGGCAGCGAGCGUUGUUCGGAAUUACUGGGCGUAAAGGGCCAGUAGGCGGCCAACUAAGUCCGACGUGAAAUCCCCAGGCUUAACCUGGGAACUGCGUCGGAUACUGGAUGGCUUGAAUUCGGGAGAGGGAUGCAGAAUUCCAGGUGUAGCGGUGAAAUGCGUAGAUAUCUGGAGGAAUACCGGUGGCGAAGGCGGCAUCCUGGACCGACAUUGACGCUGAACGGCGAAAGCUAGGGGAGCAAACGGG
This 253-nucleotide ribosomal RNA is filed under the name uncultured bacterium. RNAcentral's name for it is "partial 16S ribosomal RNA". It matches the Rfam family "Bacterial small subunit ribosomal RNA", at positions 524 to 776 of the family's 1533-position model. The record is from RNAcentral.